RNAcentral lists this ribosomal RNA (253 nucleotides) under uncultured bacterium. RNAcentral's name for it is "partial 16S ribosomal RNA". It matches the Rfam family "Bacterial small subunit ribosomal RNA", at positions 524 to 776 of the family's 1533-position model. The record is from RNAcentral.
UACGUAGGGUGCGAGCGUUAAUCGGAAUUACUGGGCGUAAAGCGUGCGCAGGCGGUUUUGUAAGUCAGAUGUGAAAGCCCCGGGCUUAACCUGGGAAUGGCAUUUGGGACUGCAAGGCUGGAGUGUGGCAGAGGAGACUGGAAUUCCUGGUGUAGCAGUGAAAUGCGUAGAUAUCAGGAGGAACACCGAUGGCGAAGGCAGGUCUCUGGGCUGACACUGACGCUCAUGCACGAAAGCGUGGGGAGCAAACAGG